This 498-nucleotide ribosomal RNA is filed under the name uncultured bacterium. RNAcentral describes it as "partial 16S ribosomal RNA". It matches the Rfam family "Bacterial small subunit ribosomal RNA", at positions 28 to 507 of the family's 1533-position model. The record is from RNAcentral.
GAUGAACGCUGGCGGCGUGCCUAAUACAUGCAAGUCGAGCGAACAGACGAGGAGCUUGCUCCUCUGACGUUAGCGGCGGACAGGUGAGUAACACGUGGAUAACCUACCUAUAAGACUGGGAUAACUUCGGGAAACCGGAGCUAAUACCGGAUAAUAUAUUGAACCUCAUGGUUCAAUAGUGAAAGACGGUUUUGCUGUCACUUAUAGAUGGAUCCGCGCCGCAUUAUCUAGUUGGUAAGGUAACGGCUUACCAAGGCGACGAUGCGGAGCCGACCGGGGAGGAUGAACGGCCAAGUUGGGACUGAGACACGGCAAAGACCAAUACGGGAGGGCGCAGGGGGGACUGUUGCGGAAUGGAGCAAAGGAUGACGAAGCAACGCAGAGUGAGUGAUGAAGGCCUUAGGGUUGUAAAGCUCUGUUAAUCGGGACGAAAGGACUUCUCGCGAAUAGUGAGAAGGAUUGACGGUACCGGAAUAGAAAGCCACGGCUCACUACGUG